GUGAGGAAUAUUGGACAAUGGGCGCAAGCCUGAUCUAGCCAUGCCGCGUGCAGGAAGACGCAUCUAUGGUGUGUAAACUGCUUUUGUACGGGAAGAAACACUCCCUCGUGAGGGAGCUUGACGGUACCGUAAGAAUAAGGAUCGGCUAACUCCGUGCCAGCAGCCGCGGUAAUACGGAGGAUCCAAGCGUUAUCCGGAAUCAUUGGGUUUAAAGGGUCCGUAGGCGGUUUAAUAAGUCAGUGGUGAAAGCCCAUCGCUCAACGAUGGAACGGCCAUUGAUACUGUUAGACUUGAAUUACAAGGAAGUAACUAGAAUAUGUAGUGUAGCGGUGAAAUGCUUAGAUAUUACAUGGAAUACCAAUUGCGAAGGCAGGUUACUACUUGUGGAUUGACGCUGAUGGACGAAAGCGUGGGGAGCGAACAGGAUUAGAUACCCCAGUAGUCC
This 445-nucleotide ribosomal RNA is filed under the name uncultured bacterium. Its description in RNAcentral is "partial 16S ribosomal RNA". It matches the Rfam family "Bacterial small subunit ribosomal RNA", at positions 354 to 796 of the family's 1533-position model. The record is from RNAcentral.